This 645-nucleotide ribosomal RNA is filed under the name Triticum aestivum (bread wheat). Its description in RNAcentral is "partial small subunit ribosomal RNA". Lineage: Eukaryota; Viridiplantae; Streptophyta; Magnoliopsida; Poales; Poaceae. The record is from RNAcentral.
AUGGCAAGCCGAGCUCUCCCUCUCCUCCAGCUCACUGCCACCCUCUUGGUGGCGCUACUCGCGACGUGCCAUGCCGGCAGCAUCGCCGUCUACUGGGGCCAGAACGACGGCGAGGCGUCGCUAGCAGAGACGUGCGCCUCUGGGAACUACAAGUUCGUCAUCCUCGCUUUUCUCCCAAAGUUCGGCAAGGGCCAAACGCCACAGCUUGACCUUGCCAGCCACUGCGACCCUUCGUCCGGUGGCUGCAGAGGCCAGAGCAAGGACAUCAAAAUGUGCCAGAGCCGUGGCGUGAAAGUCCUUCUCUCCAUCGGCGGCGGCGAUGGUAGUUAUGGCCUCUCUUCUCCCGGCGACGCACAGCAGGUUGCCUUGUACCUCUGGAACAACUACCUGGGCGGUGCGUCCUCCUCCGGUCCCCUCGGCGACGUCGUGCUGGACGGCAUUGACUUUGACAUCGAGCAAGGCAGCGCCAAGUUCUGGAACGAUCUCGCCACUGACCUAAAGAAUUUGGGAAAGAACGGAGGCAAUACCGUACUGCUGAGCGCGGCACCGCAGUGCCCGUUCCCGGAUGAAUGGGACGGCGGUGCGACCAGCACUGGGCUGUUCGACUAUGUGUGGGUGCAGUUCUACAACAACGAAGAAUGCUAG